This 372-nucleotide ribosomal RNA is filed under the name uncultured bacterium. Its description in RNAcentral is "bacterial SSU rRNA". It matches the Rfam family "Bacterial small subunit ribosomal RNA", at positions 524 to 898 of the family's 1533-position model. The record is from RNAcentral.
UACGUAGGGGGCAAGCGUUGUCCGGAAUUACUGGGCGUAAAGGGCGCGUAGGCGGUCUUGUAAGUCAGAUGUGAAAGUCCAGGGCUCAACCGUGGAAUUGCAUUUGAAACUAUAAGACUUGAGUGCAGGAGAGGAGAGCGGAAUUCCUAGUGUAGCGGUGAAAUGCGUAGAGAUUAGGAAGAACACCAGUGGCGAAGGCGGCUCUCUGGACUGUAACUGACGCUGAGGCGCGAAAGCGUGGGGAGCGAACAGGAUUAGAUACCCUGGUAGUCCACGCCGUAAACGAUGAGUGCUAGGUGUUGGGUGUCAAAGCUCAGUGCCGCAGCUAACGCAUUAAGCACUCCGCCUGGGGAGUACGACCGCAAGGUUGAA